GGCCUGGUGGUGGACGGAUUCCCGCCUGCUUCACGUGUGCUUUGACAAAUGUAUCUGCGCAAGAGCGCUCGUUCGACUCGAGCCUGGGCCA
This is a non-coding RNA of Mycena capillaripes, 91 nucleotides long. The record is from the annotation of a GenBank genome assembly. NCBI's taxonomy places the organism in Eukaryota, Fungi, Basidiomycota, Agaricomycetes, Agaricales, Mycenaceae.